Molecule: ribosomal RNA, 338 nt
Filed under: uncultured Pseudomonadota bacterium
Lineage: Bacteria; Pseudomonadati; Pseudomonadota
Description: bacterial SSU rRNA
Rfam family: Bacterial small subunit ribosomal RNA
Source: RNAcentral
AACGAACGCUGGCGGCGUGCUUAAGACAUGCAAGUCGAGCGGGAGUGAGGCUUCGGCUUCACUCCAGCGGCGCACGGGUGAGUAACACGUGGGUAACCUACCUCCAGGUCUGGGAUAACCUCGGGAAACUGGGGCUAAUACCGGAUGAGACCACGAGGUCCUCGGACUUCGCGGGAAAAGAUGGCCUCUGCUUGCAAGCUAUCACCAGGAGAUGAGCCCGCGCCCCAUUAGCUAGUUGGCGGGGUAACGGCCCACCAAGGCAACGAUGGGUAGCUGGUCUGAGAGGACGACCAGCCACACUGGAACUGAGACACGGUCCAGACUCCUACGGGUGGCAG